This 232-nucleotide non-coding RNA is filed under the name Thermothielavioides terrestris NRRL 8126. RNAcentral's name for it is "Thielavia terrestris NRRL 8126 Eukaryotic large subunit ribosomal RNA". It matches the Rfam family "Eukaryotic large subunit ribosomal RNA", at positions 2581 to 2812 of the family's 3401-position model. Lineage: Eukaryota; Fungi; Ascomycota; Sordariomycetes; Sordariales; Chaetomiaceae. The record is from Rfam by way of RNAcentral.
UAACUAUGACUCUCUCUUAAGACAUUGUCAGGUGGGGAGUUUAGCUAGGGCGGCACAUCUGUUAAACCUAUAACGCAGGUGUCCUAAGGGGGGCUUAUAGAGAAUAGAAAUCUCUAAUAGAACAAAGGGUAAAAGUCCCCUUGAUUUUGAUUUUCAGUGUGAAUAUAAACUAUGAAAGUGUAGCCUAUCGAUCCUUUAGUCCCUCGAAAUUUAAGGCUAGAGGUGCUAGAAA